GAAUUUUGGACAAUGGGCGAAAGCCUGAUCCAGCAAUGCCGCGUGCAGGAUGAAGGCCUUCGGGUUGUAAACUGCUUUUGUACGGAACGAAAAGCUUUGGGUUAAUACCCUGGAGUCAUGACGGUACCGCAACAAUAAGCACCGGCUACCUACCUGCCAGCAGCCGCGGUAAUACGUAGGGUGCCAUCGUUAAGCGGAAGUACUGAGCGUCAAGCGUGCGCAGGCGGUUUUGUAAGACAGAGGUGAAGUCCCCGGGCUCAACCUGGGAACUGCCUUUGUGACUGCAAGGCUAGAGUACGGCAGAGGGGGGUGGAAUUCCGCGUGUAGCAGUGAAAUGCGUAGAUAUGCGGAGGAACACCGAUGGCGAAGGCAACCCCCUGGGCCUGUACUGACGCUCAUGCACGAAAGCGUGGGGAGCAAACAGG
RNAcentral lists this ribosomal RNA (425 nucleotides) under uncultured bacterium. RNAcentral describes it as "partial 16S ribosomal RNA". It matches the Rfam family "Bacterial small subunit ribosomal RNA", at positions 359 to 776 of the family's 1533-position model. The record is from RNAcentral.